CGAAUGGGUUACUCAUAUGCCCAA
This 24-nucleotide non-coding RNA is filed under the name Arabidopsis thaliana (thale cress). Lineage: Eukaryota; Viridiplantae; Streptophyta; Magnoliopsida; Brassicales; Brassicaceae. The record is from RNAcentral.